Molecule: ribosomal RNA, 301 nt
Filed under: uncultured bacterium
Lineage: Bacteria
Description: partial 16S ribosomal RNA
Rfam family: Bacterial small subunit ribosomal RNA
Source: RNAcentral
CAGCCGCCGCGGGAAUACGAAGGGUGCAAGCGUCAAUCGGAAUUACUGGGCGUAAAGCGUGCGCAGGCGGUUUGUUAAGACAGAUGUGAAAUCCCCGGGCUCAACCUGGGAACUGCAUUUGUGACUGGCAGGCUAGAGUAUGGCAGAGGGGGGUGGAAUUCCGCGUGUAGCAGUGAAAUGCGUAGAUAUGCGGAGGAACACCGAUGGCGAAGGCAGCCCCCUGGGCCAAUACUGACGCUCAUGCACGAAAGCGUGGGGAGCAAACAGGAUUAGAUACCCCAGUAGUCCCUGUCUCUUAUAA